UCAUUGGCUAAGCCUGCAGCACUCAGGGUGACCCGGCUGGAAGGCAGAGUAGUCGAGAAUCAUUCUUUUGGAGACAAGACUGAAAAGGCUUCCCUGGCUGGUCUGAGCAGGACGUUCUAAGGGUCGCUGCUCCUUGGUGGUGUGAGAAGCACAUUCUCUUUGGAACUGCAGUAACUAAGCACCUAGCUGCAACUAGGGCUAUGGCUUCUAAAGACUUAACUAAAUAGAAGAUGGCCAUUAAUGUCCUUCCUGAUGUUUUUAUACAAUAUCCUUUACUUUUCAAGGACAGAAAAGGCUUGAACUUUGGAUCAUGUAGUAACCAAAG
RNAcentral lists this long non-coding RNA (325 nucleotides) under Homo sapiens (human). RNAcentral describes it as "HSALNT0116040". The record is from RNAcentral. Lineage: Eukaryota; Metazoa; Chordata; Mammalia; Primates; Hominidae.